RNAcentral lists this ribosomal RNA (761 nucleotides) under Entiminae gen. 3 costifer. RNAcentral's name for it is "eukaryotic LSU rRNA". It matches the Rfam family "Eukaryotic large subunit ribosomal RNA", at positions 411 to 937 of the family's 3401-position model. The record is from RNAcentral. Lineage: Eukaryota; Metazoa; Arthropoda; Insecta; Coleoptera; Curculionidae.
AGGGGUAAACCUGAGAAGCCCGAAAGGUCGAAGGGAGAAAUUCAUUCGCGUUUCGCGGUCGGCGUGAGACGGUCGUGUGACGGAAGACGUUCGCGUUUUCCGCGCCUUCCGUUUUUCGAUCCGAUAGCGAACGCGUGCACUUUUCUCCUGGUAGGACGUCGCGAUCCGUUGGGUGUCGGUCUACGGCUCGCGGUGGAGCCCGGACGUACGGCUUGCCGUCACGUUCGGACCCGCGUGUCCCGGCUGACUCGCUCGACGGUAUACGAAAGGUUUAAGGCCGCUAUUUUAAGCGUUCGGCUCGUGGCAAGCGCGUCAGAUGUGUCGGCGAUCGGACCUAGUGCCGGUUCUGACCUCUGGCGACUGUUGGCCGCGAAGUUCUCGAACAGACCUUAAGACCGAUCUGCGACGCUAUAGCUUUGGGUACUUUCAGGACCCGUCUUGAAACACGGACCAAGGAGUCUAGCAUGUGCGCGAGUCAUUGGGAAUCACUAAACCUAAAGGCGCAAUGAAAGUAAAGGUCCGCCUUGCGCGGACUGAGGGAAGACGGGCGGUUUACCCUUAAAAGUGGCCGCUCCGCAUUCCCGGGGCGUCUCAUUCUCAUCGCGAGAAGAGGCGCACCAAGAGCGUACACGCUGGGACCCGAAAGAUGGUGAACUAUGCCUGGUCAGGACGAAGUCAGGGGAAACCCUGAUGGAGGUCCGUAGCGAUUCUGACGUGCAAAUCGAUCGUCGGAACUGGGUAUAGGGGCGAAAGACUAAUCG